AAUUGUAAUUUGUAGAGAGUGCUUCGGGCGAGACCUCGGUCUAAGUCCAUUGGAACAUGGUGUCAUAGAGGGUGAGAAUCCCGUAUGCGACCGUGGCUCGAGCCCAUGUGAAGCCUCUUCGACGAGUCGAGUUGUUUGGGAAUGCAGCUCAAAACGGGUGGUAAAUUUCAUCUAAAGCUAAAUACUGGCUGGAGACCGAUAGCGCACAAGUAGAGUGAUCGAAAGAUGAAAAGCACUUUGGAAAGAGAGUCAAACAGUACGUGAAAUUGUUGAAAGGGAAGCGCUUGCAACCAGACCUGCCCGUAGGCGAUCAGCCGCUGUUCUCAGCGGUGUACUCGCUCUGCGAUCAGGCCAGCAUCGGUUUCGGCGGUCGGAUAAAGGCCUUGGGAAUGUAGCUUCCUCUCGGGGGAGUCUUAUAGCCCUCGGUGUAAUGCGGCCAGCUGGGACCGAGGACCGCGCUUCGGCUAGGAUGCUGGCGUAAUGGUUGUAAGCGACCCGUCUUGAAACACGGACCAAGGAGUCUAACAUCUAUGCGAGUGUUUGGGUGUCAAACCCAUGCGCGGAAUGAAAGUGAACGGAGGUGAGAACCCUUAAGGGCGCAUCAUCGACCGAUCCAGAUGUCUUCGGAUGGAUUUGAGUAUGAGCAUAGCUGUUGGGACCCGAAAGAUGGUGAACUAUGCCUGAAUAGGGUGAAGCCAGAGGAAACUCUGGUGGAGGCUCGCAGCGGUUCUGACGUGCAAAUCGAUCGUCAAAUU
This 755-nucleotide ribosomal RNA is filed under the name Xanthoparmelia mexicana. Its description in RNAcentral is "partial large subunit ribosomal RNA". It matches the Rfam family "Eukaryotic large subunit ribosomal RNA", at positions 141 to 911 of the family's 3401-position model. The record is from RNAcentral. Lineage: Eukaryota; Fungi; Ascomycota; Lecanoromycetes; Lecanorales; Parmeliaceae.